Molecule: ribosomal RNA, 113 nt
Filed under: Caerostris darwini
Lineage: Eukaryota; Metazoa; Arthropoda; Arachnida; Araneae; Araneidae
Source: RNAcentral
AACGGCCAUACCAUGCUGAAUAUACCGGUUCUCGUUAGAUCGCCGAAGUCAAACAUCAUUGGGCGCCGGUCAGUACUUGGGUGGGUGACCACCUGGGAACACCGCGUGCCGUU